ACUCCAUAUCGGCGGUGGAAACUGAUGAACUAGAGGGUGGUAGGGGUCACGGGAAUUCCCAGUGUAGCGGUGAAAUGCGUAGAUAUUGGGAAGAACACCAGCGGCGAAAGCGCGUGACUGGGCCAUUACUGACACUCAUGGACGAAAGCUAGGGGAGCGAAAGGGAUUAGAUACCCCUGUAGUCCUAGCCGUAAACGAUGGACACUAGGUGUUGCCCGAUCGACCCGGGCAGUGCCGUAGCUAACGCGUUAAGUGUCCCGCCUGGGGAGUACGCACGCAAGUGUGAAACUCAAAGGAAUUGACGGGGGCCCGCACAAGCGGUGGAGUAUGUGGUUUAAUUCGAUGCAACGCGAAGAACCUUACCAGGGCUUGACAUGUCGCGAAUCCCCUUGAAAGGGGGGAGUGCCUUCGGGAGCGCGAGCACAGGUGGUGCAUGGCUGUCGUCAGCUCGUGUCGUGAGAUGUUGGGUUAAGUCCCGCAACGAGCGCAACCCACGUUUCUAGUUGCCAGCAUUCAGUUGGGCACUCUAGAGAGACUGCCGGUGACCAACCGGAGGAAGGUGUGGAUGACGUCAAGUCAGCAUGCCCCUU
RNAcentral lists this ribosomal RNA (590 nucleotides) under uncultured cyanobacterium. RNAcentral's name for it is "bacterial SSU rRNA". It matches the Rfam family "Bacterial small subunit ribosomal RNA", at positions 612 to 1203 of the family's 1533-position model. The record is from RNAcentral. Lineage: Bacteria; Bacillati; Cyanobacteriota.